Molecule: transfer RNA, 93 nt
Filed under: Aromia moschata
Lineage: Eukaryota; Metazoa; Arthropoda; Insecta; Coleoptera; Cerambycidae
Description: tRNA-OTHER
Rfam family: tRNA
About the family: Transfer RNA (tRNA) molecules are approximately 80 nucleotides in length. Their secondary structure includes four short double-helical elements and three loops (D, anti-codon, and T loops). Further hydrogen bonds mediate the characteristic L-shaped molecular structure. tRNAs have two regions of fundamental functional importance: the anti-codon, which is responsible for specific mRNA codon recognition, and the 3' end, to which the tRNAs corresponding amino acid is attached (by aminoacyl-tRNA synthetases). tRNAs cope with the degeneracy of the genetic code in two manners: having more than one tRNA (with a specific anti-codon) for a particular amino acid; and 'wobble' base-pairing, i.e. permitting non-standard base-pairing at the 3rd anti-codon position.
Source: RNAcentral
GCGGCAAUAGCUCAGUAGAUAAAGCGCCAGGAGAGUAGAUGGCGAUUACUCCGAGAGCUAUUAUCCGCGCGGGUUCGAAUCCCGCCUGUGGCA